GAGUUUUGAAACGGGUUGUAGCUGGCUUCUCCGGAGGCAUGUGCACGCCCUGCUCAUCCACUCUACACCUGUGCACUUACUGUGGGUAUCGGGAGGUGUCGCGUCGUUUACGGCGAAGGCGUUAACCGUGCCUACGUUUUACUACAAACGAUUCAGUAUCAGAAUGUGUAUUGCGAUGUAACGCAUCUAUAUACAACUUUCAGCAACGGAUCUCUUGGCUCU
RNAcentral lists this unclassified non-coding RNA (222 nucleotides) under rhizosphere metagenome. Its description in RNAcentral is "partial ribosomal RNA internal transcribed spacer region". The record is from RNAcentral.